This 274-nucleotide ribosomal RNA is filed under the name uncultured bacterium. RNAcentral describes it as "partial 16S ribosomal RNA". It matches the Rfam family "Bacterial small subunit ribosomal RNA", at positions 523 to 796 of the family's 1533-position model. The record is from RNAcentral.
AUACGGGGGAUGCAAGCGUUAUUCGGAAUCAUUGGGCGUAAAGGGCACGCAGGCGGUUCUGUCAGUCAGAUGUGAAAGCCCGGGGCUUAACCCCGGACGUGCAUUUGAAACAGCAGGACUUGAGUAUGGUAGAGGAAAGCGGAAUUCCUGGUGUAGAGGUGAAAUUCGUAGAUAUCAGGAGGAACACCGGUGGCGAAGGCGGCUUUCUGGACCAAAACUGACGCUGAGGUGCGAAGGCGUGGGUAGCGAACAGGAUUAGAAACCCCUGUAGUCC